Molecule: ribosomal RNA, 521 nt
Filed under: Lampyridae sp. UPOL RK0394
Lineage: Eukaryota; Metazoa; Arthropoda; Insecta; Coleoptera; Lampyridae
Description: partial 16S ribosomal RNA
Rfam family: Bacterial large subunit ribosomal RNA (bases 384-521)
Source: RNAcentral
CAUGUCUUUUUGAUAAUAAUUUAAAGUCUGGCCUGCUCAAUGAUUUUUAAAUUGCCGCAGUAUUUUGACUGUGCAAAGGUAGCAUAAUAAUUAGUUUUUUUAUUGAAAGCUGGAAUGAAGGGUUGGACAAGAUUAUAACUGUCUCUUUAUUAUUUUUUUUUGAAAUUAAUUUUUAAGUUAAAAGGCUUAAAUUUUUUUGAAAGACGAGAAGACCCUAUAGAGUUUUAUUUUUUUUUAUAUUAUUAUUUUUAGGAAUUUAAUGUUUUAAUUUUAGGAAGAAUUUAGUUGGGGUGACUUGAAGAUUUAUUUAACUCUUCAAAUUUUAAUCAUUGAUUUAUGAAUUUUGAAUCUAUAUUUUUAAAUAUAAAAUAAAUUACCUUAGGGAUAACAGCGUUAUUUUUCUUUAGAGUUCUUAUUGAAAGAGAAGUUUGCGACCUCGAUGUUGGAUUAAAAUUAAUUUUUGGUGAAGGAGCUGAAAAGAUUAAGUCUGUUCGACUUUUAAAAUUUUACAUGAUCUGAGU